AACCAUUCUCACCUGCGGCUAGACCUGCGGAAGGAUCAUUACAGAGUUGCAAAACUCCCUAAACCAUUGUGAACGUUACCUAAACCGUUGCUUCGGCGGGCGGCGCGCCCUCGCGCGCGCCCCUGGGCCCCACCGCGGGCGCCCGCCGGAGGUCACCAAACUCUUGAUAUUAAUUGGCCUCUCUGAGUCUUCUGUACUGAAUAAGUCAAAACUUUCAACAACGGAUCUCAGAUCGGAAGA
RNAcentral lists this unclassified non-coding RNA (240 nucleotides) under soil metagenome. RNAcentral describes it as "partial contains 5.8S ribosomal RNA, internal transcribed spacer 2, and large subunit ribosomal RNA". The record is from RNAcentral.